UGCCAGCCGCCGCGGUAAUACAGAGGGUGCAAACGUUGUUCGGAAUUACUGGGCGUAAAGCGCGUGUAGGCGGUUCGUUAAGUCUGAUGUGAAAGCCCGGGGCUCAACCCCGGAAGUGCAUUGGAAACUGGCGAACUUGAGUACGGGAGAGGGGAGUGGAAUUCCAGGUGUAGCGGUGAAAUGCGUAGAGAUCUGGAGGAACAUCAGUGGCGAAGGCGACUCCCUGGACUGAUAUUGACGCUGAGGUGCGAAAGCGUGGGGAGCAAACAGGAUUAGAUA
RNAcentral lists this ribosomal RNA (279 nucleotides) under uncultured bacterium. RNAcentral's name for it is "partial 16S ribosomal RNA". It matches the Rfam family "Bacterial small subunit ribosomal RNA", at positions 506 to 784 of the family's 1533-position model. The record is from RNAcentral.